GUUCAGGAGGGCCACUCCCUUUUGUCCUGAAACAAUAGACCAUUAGCUUUUCAUCACAGCAAUAGCCACACUGGGGUGGUUUUAAGGAAAACUCACAGUGUUCAUCUGUGCAACAGGAAACAGACAAACAGGAAUAAAAUCCAGGGAGGAUCUUCUCAUAGUGGGUGACAUGAAGAGAAGGAGCAGUGGUCUUUUAUAUACCAACAAUUUCUGAAGAAUCUUAAACCACAGACAUGAACUGUGAAAAAUUAUACAACCUAAGAAGAGACUCAUGUAGUUUGAAGUUCGCAAAGACAGCAAUCAACAGAACAGCAGAAUUACAGAUGAAGAACUGUUCUGUGGUGAGUAAACUGAAGCUUUCAUACUUUGGGCUUCUUGAGUGAAGAUUGUGCGGCACAUACUCUCAAAUA
RNAcentral lists this long non-coding RNA (410 nucleotides) under Taeniopygia guttata (zebra finch). Its description in RNAcentral is "lncRNA (ENSTGUG00000028018.1)". Lineage: Eukaryota; Metazoa; Chordata; Aves; Passeriformes; Estrildidae. The record is from RNAcentral.